UGAGGAAUAUUGGGCAAUGCCCGCAAGGGUGACCCAGCAACGCCGCGUGGAGGAUGAAUGUCGUAAGAUUGUAAACUCCUGUUAGAGGGGAAGAAUAGUACCGGUUGGACCGGUAUAUGACUGUACCCUCAGAGAAAGCCCCGGCUAACUACGUGCCAGCAGCCGCGGUAAUACGUAGGGGGCAAGCGUUGUCCGGAUUUACUGGGUGUAAAGGGCGCGCAGGCGGGAUAAAAAGUCAGUGGUGAAAUCUUACAGCUUAACUGUAGAACUGCCUUUGAUACUUUUAUUCUUGAGUUCGGGAGAGAGGGACGGAAUUCCAGGUGUAGUGGUGAAAUACGUAGAUAUCUGGAAGAACACCAGUUGCGAAGGCGGUCUCUUGGUCCGACACUGACGCUGAGGCGCGAAAGCGUGGGGAGCAAACA
Molecule: ribosomal RNA, 422 nt
Filed under: uncultured bacterium
Lineage: Bacteria
Description: bacterial SSU rRNA
Rfam family: Bacterial small subunit ribosomal RNA
Source: RNAcentral